GGGCGGGUGGUGGAACCGGCAGACACAUUGGACUUAAAAUCCAAGGGGGCGUAGAAACCCCAUACGGGUUCGAGUCCCGUCCCGCCCACCA
RNAcentral lists this transfer RNA (91 nucleotides) under Planctomycetota bacterium. Its description in RNAcentral is "Planctomycetes bacterium (sediment metagenome) tRNA-Leu". It matches the Rfam family "tRNA". Rfam says of the family: Transfer RNA (tRNA) molecules are approximately 80 nucleotides in length. Their secondary structure includes four short double-helical elements and three loops (D, anti-codon, and T loops). Further hydrogen bonds mediate the characteristic L-shaped molecular structure. tRNAs have two regions of fundamental functional importance: the anti-codon, which is responsible for specific mRNA codon recognition, and the 3' end, to which the tRNAs corresponding amino acid is attached (by aminoacyl-tRNA synthetases). tRNAs cope with the degeneracy of the genetic code in two manners: having more than one tRNA (with a specific anti-codon) for a particular amino acid; and 'wobble' base-pairing, i.e. permitting non-standard base-pairing at the 3rd anti-codon position. Lineage: Bacteria; Pseudomonadati; Planctomycetota. The record is from RNAcentral.